AUUGAACGCUGGCGGAAUGCUUUACACAUGCAAGUCGAACGGCAGCACGGACUUCGGUCUGGUGGCGAGUGGCGAACGGGUGAGUAAUGUAUCGGAACGUGCCCAGUCGUGGGGGAUAACGUAGUGAAAAUUACGCUAAUACCGCAUACGAUCUAUGGAUGAAAGCGGGGGAUCGCAAGACCUCGCGCGAUUGGAGCGGGCGAUAUCAGAUUAGGUAGUUGGUGGGGUAAAGGCCCACCAAGCCAACGAUCUGUAGCUGGUCUGAGAGGACGACCAGCCACACUGGAACUGAGACGCGGUCCAGACUCCUACGGGAGGCAGCAGUGGGGAAUUUUGGACAAUGGGCGAAAGCCUGAUCCAGCCAUUCCGCGUGCAGGAUGAAGGCCCUCGGGUUGUAAACUGCUUUUGUACAGAACGAAAAGGUUUCUACUAAUACUAGGAGCUCAUGACGGUACUGUAAGAAUAAGCACCGGCUAACUACGUGCCAGCCGCCGCGGUAA
This 500-nucleotide ribosomal RNA is filed under the name uncultured bacterium. RNAcentral's name for it is "partial 16S ribosomal RNA". It matches the Rfam family "Bacterial small subunit ribosomal RNA", at positions 30 to 523 of the family's 1533-position model. The record is from RNAcentral.